RNAcentral lists this ribosomal RNA (269 nucleotides) under uncultured archaeon. Its description in RNAcentral is "partial 16S ribosomal RNA". It matches the Rfam family "Bacterial small subunit ribosomal RNA", at positions 527 to 796 of the family's 1533-position model. The record is from RNAcentral.
CUAGGGGGCGAGCGUUAUCCGGAAUUAUUGGGCGUAAAGCGUGCGUAGGCGGUUUGUUAAGUCAUUUGUAAAAGAUCUCAGCCUAACUGAGUAAGGCGAGUGAAACUGACAGACUUGAAUACGGUAGAGGUAAGUGGAAUUCCAUGUGUAGCGGUGGAAUGCGUAGAUAUAUGGAGGAACACCAAUGGCGAAGGCAACUUACUGGGCCGGAAUUGACGCUGAGGCACGAAAGCGUGGGGAGCAAACAGGAUUAGAUACCCGAGUAGUCC